Non-coding RNA from Equus caballus (horse), 5236 nucleotides. Lineage: Eukaryota; Metazoa; Chordata; Mammalia; Perissodactyla; Equidae. The record is from RefSeq and is a predicted model, not a curated record.
GCAAGUGGGCAGCCAUCUGCCUAGCAGAGCACAGCAGUGUGUCUCUGGAUGGGCCAACGAAGGCUGAGUGCCAAGUAGGGAGUAGAGAGAUAAAUCUCUCUGCAAAUCAAGUCAGGGGACUCUUGAUGUCGGAGGGCAUGGAGAGAGAGGGUGCCGGGCUGUAGAAAGGAGGCUGGAUCCUUUGGAGAAAGGAGGAGCAGCCACUAAUUGGGACAAGCCUACCUUGUGGCAGGGGAACAAGAGAGAUGGCAGAAAUACACGAUGGAGCAAAAGCAAUGGAAAGCCAUUGGAGGUUUUCGAAGCUAAUUGAAGAAUGGAUUAGAGAGAAGCUGAAGACGUUUAUGAGGCUACUUGAAGAGUCCAGGCAGGAGAUACUAAAGGGAGAACCAGGACACUGACAAGCAUCAUGGACAGGACAGAACCUAUACAGCCGAUCUGCAAAGGAAAUCAACAAAGCUUGAAAACUGAUUGGUUUGGGGAAUAAAGGAGGGAGAGAGAGAGAGAAAAGUUGCAGAUGAUUGGACUGUGGUGGUAUCAUUAAUGUAAUCAGAAAAAUAAGAAAGAGAAGUGACUUGUAGAAUGGUAAAAUAAAGUUUUAUUUUGUGGUGUUGAGUUUGAGGAAUUUCAGAUAGAAAUGUUUAGUAGGCCUAUGGAUCUAUGGGAAGAGAGUUUAGGGUCGUGAGUGUAACUGAAUAUGUAGACCUGUGAGACCUAAACAGGUGACAGUUGAAGCCAUGGAUGCAGAUGAGAAUAUCAAAGGGGAAUGGUGGCUGAAAGGCAGAGGCCUGGGGACUCUCCACAUGCAGGGUGUGGCAAGAUGAAGAUAAGCCUGGAGGGACACUGGGGAGCAUUGACAAGGAGGAGAGGAGAGGAGAACAGAACAAUGUAGGAUCAACUAAGCUGAGGCAGAUGAGAACCUGAGCAGGAGGGAGAGUUCAACAUGGUCAAAUACUUUAGAGAGCACCAGGUGGGUGAGAACGUAGAAAGCUAUAUGGAACUUGGAAGAGGAGAUCGUUGGUCACGGGUAAGGAAACAACUUCAGUAAAGAAUGGAGUUGUUCUUUUGAGAUAAUUGAUAACGAAAAGUAUAGAGAUUGAAUGAUGGAGGGGUAGUUGGAAGGGGUGGAAUCAAGAGCACAGGGAGUGAGCUAACCUCGAGGAGGGCAGGAGAAUACGCACUAAGAGAGAAAUCGUCAGUGGUAAGGAAUGACCUUAAGUUAGCCCUCACCGGGGUAGAGAAAAGAAAUAGGCUCAUUCGUUGAAAUUAAAAAAUAAUUAUGUGUUAAUGAAAAAUCAGAUUAGAUUUUUUUAAAACCAUGUAGAUAAAACUAAUCAAGGGAAGCUAAAGGGACCUUCCAAGUGACUAUAUUGUACUCAUUUUCCUGUAUUCAAUGUUCAGCACAGGGCCUGCUAUAUAUUCAUGUGCAAUAAAUAGUUAUUGGGGAAUAUAUAACUGGGCUUCAGGACUGAUAAUUUUAGGAAAAUGUUUUUGUGAUCUGGAGCUUAUUAAUUGGUCUAAGUGUCCUUUCAGUGGGAGAAGGGCAUUUGAGGCCUUUUAUGAGGGCAUAUAAGAGACUUUUUCUUCCUACCAGUUUGAGAUUGCUGGUAUCCCUUCAAAGUGGCUAAGCCAUUUGCAACCCACAAAACUCUGGGGGAAAUAAAACCCAACCAGAGAACAAUUAUGUUAAGCUAGGUUGCUAUCAAGAGCGUCUUCGAGCAGGAAGAACUAGUGAACUUAGCAAAAGGGAUGUUUAAUAAUAUUUAUUCUUUCAUUCAUGCUCACUCAAAACUCCACCUAUUUACUGAGCACCUUGCAAUGUGCCAGGUACUAUUCUAAGGCUGGGAUAGAACCUCUCCACUCAUCUAGAUUACACUGCUAUGAACAAAUAACCAUAUUAUAUGACGUCAUGUAAUGAUAAGCGCUACCAAGAAAAAAUAAAGCAGGUUAAAGAGAUAAAAAUUAAUUGGGGCGGAGUGUGUGAAUGGGACUGUUAUUUCCUUGGAAGACCUUGGGAGAUCUCUGAUGAGAAAACAGAGAUCUGAACAGAGAUCUGAAAGAUCUAGAGAAGCAUGUUUCAGGCAGAGAGAACAGCCAAUGCUAAGAUUAUUCAUUCUUGAGACAGGAGUGAACUUGGCACGUUUUAGGAAGACCAAGAAGGUCAGUGUUGCAGGAGUAAAAGGAGCAGGUGAAGAGUGGCAGGUAUGAUGUUGGAAAGAGAGGCCAGAUCGUGUGAGAUCGUGAAGGCUUUUAUUCUCAGUGUGAUUGGGAAAUCAUUGGGUGGGUUUUGAGCAAGAAAGUAACAUGUUAGGGAUUAUGUUUUUAGAGGAUUGCUCUGAACUCUGAUCUCUGAACGGAGAUCAUAAGAGGGCAAGGCCUGAAGUAAGGAGACCAGUUAGGAAGUUGCUGCAGUAAUCCAGGAAGAGAAGGUGGAGAUCAGAACAAGGAUGACAGCAGUGGUGAUGAAGAGAGGUGGAAAGAUUCUAGACAUAUUUUAAAUAACUUUAUUGUGAUAUAUUGAGAUAUAAUUCACAUACCAUAAAAUUUUGUUUAAUUGUACCUAUUAGAAGUGUCCAGUUCAGUAGUUCUAGAGAUAGAUAUGAUAGGACUUGAUAAUGGAGUGGAUUCAAAGUGUGAAGGAAAGAGAGGCAUCAGGGAUGUCCCUUGGAUUAGAAAUUAAGCAACUGGAUAGACAGUGUUGACAUUUGCUGAGAUGUAGAGAACUGGGGAGAAGAAAAGUACCUAUGUCAUUGGGCUAGGAGGUGACCUACAAGCACACAGAAAAAUGCCUAGUAUUUCAUAAAUUUAAAAUAUGUUUGGCUAGUCUUUUUCUUACAUGACAUUUCUUCUCUAUUUUUGGACACAAAGAACAAGUCAAGGUCCGGUUACUGAAAUCAGGAUAUAGAGUCCGAGAGUUUAAGCAGGAGACUGAUUUGCUGUUCAGAAGCCAACUGUGGAUCUAGGAAGUUUUAUAUAUCUACUUUCAGGGCUUGGAGUAGUCUCUUGGUUAUGGCAUAGGAUUAAUUUCUCCUAGAAGCCAGAUAACAAAUUAUCUUGUAGGAUAUUUUCUUUAGGAAGCCAGAGAACAAAUGAUCAUGUUGGAUAUUUUUAGUGGGCCAUAGCAGGGCUUCCGUUAUUAUCCUCUAAUGGAGAAAGAAUAAAAGCAUAUAUCAGAUGGUGUUAUCCUUGUUGCCCAAUAAAUCAUUGAUAUGUAAAAUUUGGUGAUCUCCACUGGGAUUCCCCAGCAUUAAUUCUACAAGCCUGACUUCGUGAUGUGCCAAUAGCUUUUGUGUAUUGUGUGUUUUUAUACAGUAAAUUUGUAAACAAGCUUUAAGAUCUAUAUAUACAUACAAAUGUAUAUAAGACUUAGGCUUAACUGCAAUAAUUCACAUUCAUUACUAAAAUUAUGGAUAAAACAAUUGGAGAAAGGCCAACUAAGUUGAAUGUGGAGAGGGAAAUCGAGAGAUAAAAUUAUUUAAUGGAAAGUGCUUGCUUUAGAUUCUUGCUUUAUGCUGAACCUUGGGACUCAUUUGUUUCAGUUAUCUACUGCUGUGUAACCAACCACACCGAUGCUUAGUGACUUAAGACAACAACUUAUUAUCACCUCUUCUAGUUUUGUGAGUUGAAUGAGCUUGUCUGGGCAGACUUCACUUGGGGUCUUUCCUGCAGUUGCAGUCAUAGAGCUGCUGAGGUUGGAGCCACCAAAGGCUCAACUGAGCUGUGUCCCAGAUGGCUUCUUAAUCACAUGUCUGGCAUUUUUCUGCUCCUUUGAGUGGUCUUUCUUUCUAUCAAAGUAACUUAGACUUCUGACAUGGCAGCUCAGGGCUCCAAGAGGCAGGAAGUGGAAACUUACAGUCCUCACAAAGGCCAGACCUGAAACUGACACAAUAUCAUUGCCACCAUAUUCUGUUGGUUGAAGCAGUCAGAGAUCAGAUCAGGAAGAGACUCCAUCUUUAGAUGGAGGUGUGACAUGCAUACAGAAUGAGGGAAAGAAUUGAUGACAGCUAUUUGGUAGACAAGCUACAUUCAAUCAGCUUAUAACCAUUCAUUCACACAGGAAUUGCCAACCCUUUUACAAAAGACUAUUUUUUUAAAAAAUUAAUCCUCUGAUUAAUUAGAUCAGGAAAUAAAUCUAAACUAAAUGUCAGGUUACUAGCACUACAUUAAGUCUAUUCUAUAGUUAGCAAAUCAGAGAUUUCCAGUUGUACUUUUCAAAACUUAUCCAACAAUAGAAAAUGAUUUUGACACAGAGAUAUUAUCAAAUCAUUAGGUGCUAUUCUUCAAAAAAUAGAUAAGCAGAUUUGGAAUCUCUUGCAACUCUUUGUUGGUUUUCAGGAUCAACCAUUUGAAUGUUCUUUGAUUUUGUUUUAAAGCCUAGAUCUAUAGGCCAGUGGAAAGAAUAAUUUCCAGAAUCAUCCUGGUCAUAACUCUUGGUCAAUGUGAUGUAUUCAAUUUAACUGUACAGAGAUUUAGUAGAUAUGAACUAUCAUAUGUGCCUGGGUCAACCACGUCCUAUGUAUCAGAGCUAGAGUGGGGUUACACAAGAGUGGGAAAUCAAACAAGGAGGUACCAGUUUGAGGUGGAACGAGUUCAGAACUGACCAGGAGUUGAAAUGAGAUUUGGUAGGAAUCUGCAAGAGUUGGCAGGUACAAAAUCAGGAGCCAACCAGGAGUACUGCAGGAGUUUCUGGAAAAGUGAGAAGAGCAGGCAGCUUAAGCAGGACAAGAUUCAACAGAAGAACUGAGCAGCAACCCAAGAGAAACUCCGUCCCCACGGUAGCAGCUAAACAGCAAUAUAGAAGCAGAUAAGUAAAUUAUUAACAAGCUGCUUUAAAUAAUUAAGAAGACAGAGAUAGGGCAAGGCUAAAAGUGCAGGAAGUAGCAACUGAGAAAAUAUACUCAUAAGUUGGACCAAUAAUUAUUUAAGACAGGAAAGCUUUUUAAAUUCAGCUGCUCAACCCCUUCCAGGCAUCCUUAAAGAAAUUUCCCUCAGACUGGACAAGAAUCUGUAAAAUCUCUAACACCCGUAGGUUAAGGAAUUCCCCAUUCUUGUUGUUAUGAGGAGUUAUUUCACUCACCUCCUGUAAUUAUAAAUUUUCAGUUAACCCAUGUAAAAUGUUUCCAGAGUGUUUGGCACGUGGCACCCAAUCAAUGUUGGUUCCUUUCCUACUUUCUUUUAGUGGCACGGUACACAAAAGACCACUUAGCCAGAAGCAACUCCUGGCCCCAUCUCAUGAAGG